AAAAUUGUAGCUCAGUUGGCUAGAGCGUUGGCUGUACUAAGACCUUUCCAUUGCUGGCGUGGGUUCGAAUCCCACCGAGUUUU
This 83-nucleotide transfer RNA is filed under the name Schistocephalus solidus. It matches the Rfam family "tRNA". Rfam says of the family: Transfer RNA (tRNA) molecules are approximately 80 nucleotides in length. Their secondary structure includes four short double-helical elements and three loops (D, anti-codon, and T loops). Further hydrogen bonds mediate the characteristic L-shaped molecular structure. tRNAs have two regions of fundamental functional importance: the anti-codon, which is responsible for specific mRNA codon recognition, and the 3' end, to which the tRNAs corresponding amino acid is attached (by aminoacyl-tRNA synthetases). tRNAs cope with the degeneracy of the genetic code in two manners: having more than one tRNA (with a specific anti-codon) for a particular amino acid; and 'wobble' base-pairing, i.e. permitting non-standard base-pairing at the 3rd anti-codon position. The record is from Rfam by way of RNAcentral. Lineage: Eukaryota; Metazoa; Platyhelminthes; Cestoda; Diphyllobothriidea; Diphyllobothriidae.